AUUGAACGCUGGCGGAAUGCUUUACACAUGCAAGUCGAACGGCAGCACGGACUUCGGUCUGGUGGCGAGUGGCGAACGGGUGAGUAAUGUAUCGGAACGUGCCCAGUCGUGGGGGAUAACGUAGUGAAAAUUACGCUAAUACCGCAUACGAUCUAUGGAUGAAAGCGGGGGAUCGCAAGACCUCGCGCGAUUGGAGCGGCCGAUAUCAGGUUAGGUAGUUGGUGGGGUAAAGGCCCACCAAGCCAACGAUCUGUAGCUGGUCUGAGAGGACGACCAGCCACACUGGAAGUGUGACACGGUCCAGACUCCUACGGGAGGCAGCAGUGGGGAAUUUUGGAAAAUGGGCGAAAGCCUGAUCCAGCCAUUCCGCGUGCAGGAUGAAGGCCCUCGGGUUGUAAACUGCUUUUGUACAGAACGAAAAGGUUUCUACUAAUACUAGGAGCUCAUGACGGUACUGUAAGAAUAAGCACCGGCUAACUACGUGCCAGCCGCCGCCGUAA
RNAcentral lists this ribosomal RNA (500 nucleotides) under uncultured bacterium. Its description in RNAcentral is "partial 16S ribosomal RNA". It matches the Rfam family "Bacterial small subunit ribosomal RNA", at positions 30 to 523 of the family's 1533-position model. The record is from RNAcentral.